UGGGGAAUUUUGGACAAUGGGCGAAAGCCUGAUCCAGCAAUGCCGCGUGUGUGAAGAAGGCCUUCGGGUUGUAAAGCACUUUUGUCCGGAAAGAAAUCCUUGGCUCUAAUACAGUCGGGGGAUGACGGUACCGGAAGAAUAAGCACCGGCUAACUACGUGCCAGCAGCCGCGGUAAUACGUAGGGUGCAAGCGUUAAUCGGAAUUACUGGGCGUAAAGCGUGCGCAGGCGGUUUGCUAAGACCGAUGUGAAAUCCCCGGGCUCAACCUGGGAACUGCAUUGGUGACUGGCAGGCUAGAGUAUGGCAGAGGGGGGUAGAAUUCCACGUGUAGCAGUGAAAUGCGUAGAGAUGUGGAGGAAUACCGAUGGCGAAGGCAGCCCCCUGGGCCAAUACUGACGCUCAUGCACGAAAGCGCGGGGAGCAAACAGGAUUAGAUACCCCUGGUAGUCCACGCCCUAAACGAUGUCAACUAGUUGUUGGGGAUUCAUUUCCUUAGUAACGUAGCUAACGCGUGAAGUUGACCGCCUGGGGAGUACGGUCGCAAGAUUAAACUC
RNAcentral lists this ribosomal RNA (554 nucleotides) under uncultured bacterium. RNAcentral describes it as "partial 16S ribosomal RNA". It matches the Rfam family "Bacterial small subunit ribosomal RNA", at positions 355 to 902 of the family's 1533-position model. The record is from RNAcentral.